Molecule: ribosomal RNA, 1347 nt
Filed under: uncultured bacterium
Lineage: Bacteria
Description: bacterial SSU rRNA
Rfam family: Bacterial small subunit ribosomal RNA
Source: RNAcentral
GACGAACGCUGGCGGCGUGCUUAACACAUGCAAGUCGAACGAUGAAGCCUAGCUUGCUAGGUGGAUUAGUGGCGAACGGGUGAGUAAUACGUGAGUAACCUACCUUUAACUCUGGGAUAAGCCUGGGAAACUGGGUCUAAUACCGGAUACGACCAAUCUCCGCAUGGGGUGUUGGUGGAAAGCGUUAUGUAGUGGUUAUAGAUGGGCUCACGGCCUAUCAGCUUGUUGGUGAGGUAACGGCUCACCAAGGCGACGACGGGUAGCCGGCCUGAGAGGGUGACCGGCCACACUGGGACUGAGACACGGCCCAGACUCCUACGGGAGGCAGCAGUGGGGAAUAUUGCACAAUGGGCGCAAGCCUGAUGCAGCGACGCCGCGUGAGGGAUGACGGCCUUCGGGUUGUAAACCUCUGUUAGCAGGGAAGAAGAGAGAUUGACGGUACCUGCAGAGAAAGCGCCGGCUAACUACGUGCCAGCAGCCGCGGUAAUACGUAGGGCGCGAACGUUGUCCGGAAUUAUUGGGCGUAAAGAGCUUGUAGGCGGUUUGUCGCGUCUGCUGUGAAGGCCGGAGCUUAACUCCGUGUAUUGCAGUGGGUACGGGCAGACUAGAGUGCAGUAGGGGAGACUGGAAUUCCUGGUGUAGCGGUGGAAUGCGCAGAUAUCAGGAGGAACACCGAUGGCGAAGGCAGGUCUCUGGGCUGUAACUGACGCUGAGAAGCGAAAGCAUGGGGAGCGAACAGGAUUAGAUACCCUGGUAGUCCAUGCCGUAAACGUUGGGCACUAGGUGUGGGGAACAUUCCACGUUUUCCGCGCCGUAGCUAACGCAUUAAGUGCCCCGCCUGGGGAGUACGGCCGCAAGGCUAAAACUCAAAGAAAUUGACGGGGGCCCGCACAAGCGGCGGAGCAUGCGGAUUAAUUCGAUGCAACGCGAAGAACCUUACCAAGGCUUGACAUAUACUGGACCGCAUCAGAGAUGGUGUUUCCCUUCGGGGCUGGUAUACAGGUGGUGCAUGGUUGUCGUCAGCUCGUGUCGUGAGAUGUUGGGUUAAGUCCCGCAACGAGCGCAACCCUCGUUCUAUGUUGCCAGCACGUUAUGGUGGGGACUCAUAGGAGACUGCCGGGGUCAACUCGGAGGAAGGUGGGGAUGACGUCAAAUCAUCAUGCCCCUUAUGUCUUGGGCUUCACGCAUGCUACAAUGGCCGGUACAGAGGGUUGCGAUACUGUGAGGUGGAGCUAAUCCCUAAAAGCCGGUCUCAGUUCGGAUUGGGGUCUGCAACUCGACCCCAUGAAGUCGGAGUCGCUAGUAAUCGCAGAUCAGCAACGCUGCGGCGAAUACGUUCCCGGGCCU